Molecule: ribosomal RNA, 234 nt
Filed under: uncultured bacterium
Lineage: Bacteria
Description: partial 16S ribosomal RNA
Rfam family: Bacterial small subunit ribosomal RNA
Source: RNAcentral
UACGUAGGGUGCAAGCGUUAAUCGGAAUUACUGGGCGUAAAGCGUGCGCAGGCGGUUGUGCAAGACAGAUGUGAAAAUCCCCCGGGCUUAACCUGGGAAUUGCAUUUGUGACUGCACGGCUAGAGUGUGUCAGAGGGGGGGUAGAAUUCCACGUGUAGCAGUGAAAAUGCGUAGAUAUGUGGAGGAAUACCGAUGGCGAAGGCAGCCCCCUGGGAUAACACUGACGCUCAGGCA